RNAcentral lists this ribosomal RNA (440 nucleotides) under uncultured bacterium. RNAcentral describes it as "bacterial SSU rRNA". It matches the Rfam family "Bacterial small subunit ribosomal RNA", at positions 340 to 773 of the family's 1533-position model. The record is from RNAcentral.
UACGGAAGGCAGCAGUGGGGAAUAUUGCACAAUGGGCGCAAGCCUGAUGCAGCCAUGCCGCGUGUAUGAAGAAGGCCUUCGGGUUGUAAAGUACUUUCAGUCGUGAGGAAGGUGUUAAGGUUAAUAACCUUAGCAAUUGACGUUAGCGACAGAAGAAGCACCGGCUAACUCCGUGCCAGCAGCCGCGGUAAUACGGAGGGUGCGAGCGUUAAUCGGAAUUACUGGGCGUAAAGGGCACGCAGGCGGUUAAUUAAGUUGGAUGUGAAAUCCCCGGGCUUAACCUGGGAAUGGCAUUCAAGCUGGUUAGCUAGAGUCUUGUAGAGGGGGUAGAAUUCCAUGUGUAGCGGUGAAAUGCGUAGAGAUGUGGAGGAAUACCGGUGGCGAAGGCGGCCCCUGGGACAAAGGACUGACGCUCAUGUGCGAAAGCGUGGGGAGCAAAC